RNAcentral lists this ribosomal RNA (695 nucleotides) under uncultured bacterium. RNAcentral describes it as "bacterial SSU rRNA". It matches the Rfam family "Bacterial small subunit ribosomal RNA", at positions 217 to 925 of the family's 1533-position model. The record is from RNAcentral.
GCUCAGGAAUGGCCCUGCGGCCCAUCAGGUUGUUGGCGGGGUAACGGCCCACCAAGCCGAUGACGGGUCGCUGGUCUGUGAGGACGACCAGCCAGACUGGGACUGCGACACGGCCCAGACUCCUACGGGAGGCAGCAGCAAGGAAUUUUCGGCAAUGGGCGCAAGCCUGACCGAGCAACGCCGCGUGCAGGAUGACGGCUUUCGGGUUGUAAACUGCUUUUGCCAGAGAUGAUACGGACAGUAUCUGGCGAAUCAGCCCCGGCUAACUCUGUGCCAGCAGCCGCGGUAAUACAGAGGGGGCAAGCGUUGUCCGGAUUGACUGGGCGUAAAGCGCACGCAGGUGGUCAGCCAAGACGGGUGUGAAAUCGACGGGCUUAACCCGUCGCCGCCACCCGUGACUGGUCGACUGGAGGUUGGCAGAGGUGGGUGGAAUUGCCAGUGUAGCAGUGAAAUGCGUAGAGCUUGGCAGGAACACCGAGGGGGAACCCAGCCCACUGGGCCAGACCUGACACUGAGGUGCGACAGCGUGGGGAGCCAACAGGAUUAGAUACCCUGGUAGUCCACGCCGUAAACGAUGUGCGCUCGGCUUGUGGCGGUUAUCCAUACCGCUGGGAGCCUUAGCUUACGCGGUAAGCGCACCGCCUGGGAACUACGAGCGCAAGCUUAAAACUCAAAGGAAUUGACGGAAUCGAAUU